Molecule: ribosomal RNA, 253 nt
Filed under: uncultured bacterium
Lineage: Bacteria
Description: partial 16S ribosomal RNA
Rfam family: Bacterial small subunit ribosomal RNA
Source: RNAcentral
UACAGAGGGGGCAAGCGUUGUUCGGAAUUACUGGGCGUAAAGGGCGCGUAGGCGGCCUUCUAAGUCGAACGUGAAAUCCCCGGGCUCAACCCGGGAACUGCGUCCGAUACUGAAAGGCUUGAAUCCGGGAGAGGGAUGCGGAAUUCCAGGUGUAGCGGUGAAAUGCGUAGAGAUCAUGAGGAACACCGAUGGCGAAGGCAGGUCUCUGGGCCACUACUGACGCUGAGAAGCGAAAGCAUGGGGAGCGAACAGG